RNAcentral lists this long non-coding RNA (348 nucleotides) under Selaginella moellendorffii. RNAcentral describes it as "long non-coding RNA (SMOE_LNC002018)". Lineage: Eukaryota; Viridiplantae; Streptophyta; Lycopodiopsida; Selaginellales; Selaginellaceae. The record is from RNAcentral.
UCUGUGAAAACCAUAUAAGCAUGUUGGAGCACAGUUGAUAUCAGAUAUAACUCACCUCUUUUGCUGGGAGUCCUUGUUGGAACUAGGAGGAGAAUUUGUGUUUGUAGAAGCCGCCACAAAUCCCCGUAGAGGAGGUGUACUUGUUGUAGAAGCGGCCACAAAUCCCCGUAGAGGAGGUGUACUUGUUGUAGAAGCGGCCACAAAUCCCCGUAGAGGAGGUGUACUUGUUGUAGAAGCGGCCACAAAUCCCCGUAGAGGAGCACUAGCAGCAGCGACAGAUCCCGGUAGCACGGUGUUUGUAGCAGCACCUCCAGCACUCGAUGACGCAGCAACGAAGCUGUCCUUGAA